AUUGAACGCUGGCGGCAGGCCUAACACAUGCAAGUCGAGCGAGCGGGGGGCGGGAGAGUAAUGUAUGGGACUCUGUCCGGUAGGGGGGUAUAACCACUGGAAACUGUCUCUAACACCGCAAUCUAUCGGGUGACCCCAUAUGGGAUUAGCUAGUGGGGGGGGUAAAGGCUCACCUAGGCGACGAUCUCUAGCUGGUCUGAGAGGAUGAUCAGCCACACUGGGACUGAGACACGGUCCAGACUCCUACGGGAGGCAGCAGUGGGGAAUAUUGCACAAUGGGCGCAAGCCUGAUGCAGCCAUGCCGCGUGUGUGAAGAAGGCCUUCGGGUUGUAAAGUACUUUCAGCGGGGAGGCGUUACCCGCAGAAGAAGCACCGGCUAACUCCGUGCCAGCAGCCGCGGUAAUAC
RNAcentral lists this ribosomal RNA (406 nucleotides) under uncultured bacterium. RNAcentral's name for it is "partial 16S ribosomal RNA". It matches the Rfam family "Bacterial small subunit ribosomal RNA", at positions 30 to 526 of the family's 1533-position model. The record is from RNAcentral.